Molecule: long non-coding RNA, 332 nt
Filed under: Mytilus galloprovincialis (Mediterranean mussel)
Lineage: Eukaryota; Metazoa; Mollusca; Bivalvia; Mytilida; Mytilidae
Source: RNAcentral
CCCGCCCGCCCGACCGCCCGCCGUACAUCCCCAAAUCAAUAACCGACGUUUUUGUCACAAAAAUCCGGUUAAAAAUUGGAAAUGAGUUGUGUCAUGAAUUUUCCGUUAGGGUGCUUUGGUGUUUUUUUAGGUAGAUAUGUAGGCAAUAUCAAAUAAUUUUGUAAAUUUCAUUUUUGGCCUGAGGUAUGAUUUUUAAAAGUACAUCAAUGAAUACAAGUUUCAAUGCAUUUACAGACUAUUAACAAUUUGAUAUUCUUACUAGUUAGUUGUCUCUAAGCAAACCCUAUCAAUAUGCAUAAAAUUUAAUACAAGUAUUACAUACAAAAUAAAUA